Molecule: long non-coding RNA, 1406 nt
Filed under: Mytilus galloprovincialis (Mediterranean mussel)
Lineage: Eukaryota; Metazoa; Mollusca; Bivalvia; Mytilida; Mytilidae
Source: RNAcentral
GUUAUGUAUUAUCAACAAAUACAACUUGUGUUUCAAUAUUAUGAAUGAACACAAAUGCAGCCACUUUCAUUUAAGACAGAAACCAUCUAAAAUUUAACUAAAAUGCUAAAAUUGUGAAGAUUUCAGUUAUAUAGCAUGACUUAAUGCUGCUAGUUCCCGAUAUAUGUGCAUUGUAUUGUCGAAAACAGCCCAUAUGUAUGUAGCAGAAGCAUUCUACUUUCCAAUAAAUAGCUAAAAAAUAGCAUUUUCACAAUUUUGUAAAACUGCUAUAUUUUGAGGCCAAAAAUUGGUCUUACUGAACCUACUCCUUUUGUAAUAUACUUGUGUAAAGAUGUAGUUGAAGGAUUAUGCAUAAUUCUUGUAUGUUAAGGGAAGAGGCAUAUGAUUGAAUAAAUGGUUAAAUAUUGUAGACAACAUUCCACUGAAUGAGUCCUAAUUUUAUGUGAAUAUGACAUUGUGCAAUGACAAUAAUUAUGUAUGCAUCUUUGAUUGAGAAACAAUAUCAUCAAAUAUUUCAUUUAUUCAGCUCAUUGUUUGUUACUGUAAGUUAUUAAUAAUAUUUGUACUUAUAUUUUCUGUUGUUCCAUUGUAUAUUUUUGUCUUGUCUAGUCCACCUAUCAUGUAUAAGAAAAUUGUCAAGGUUGUUGUUUAUGCAUGGUCUUGAAAGCCCUACUCUUUUAGUAAAACUUUUCUGCUAUUGGCAUGAUUGGCAGCUCUUAAUCCUUAUAGACCUACUUGUAUCUAUACUUUCUCUGUUAUUGCAAAGUUGAAUGUACGUUAAAAUAAGAGGUACACAUCUACUAGAGUUUUUUUGCAUAAAAUAAAGUUUUGACCAACUAGAUAAGAUGAAAAAUCCCUUUGAAAAUUUUGUUAAUCUGUGACAACCCUUUCCUUUUGAUAUCCAGUUGUAUGUCUAUAGGUAGAAAAUCCUCCAUAUUGAAUCAUGAUGUCAUGUCAAUAAGAUUAAAACAUGCCUGUCAUUAUCAAAAUUCCAAUUAUGAAGACUCAUUUCUGAUAUGGUGCAGAUACCGGUAGUAAAUCAAACAUUUCAACUUGUGUACUUAUAAAUCUUGUGAUAAACCAGAUGUGUUAUUUACAUGUGGUAUUUGUAAAGUACAAAGAUCUGUAAGGUUUCACUGUAUAAUUGACAGAUGAUAGAGUGAUAGGUGAGCCACAUAUGUUAGAGUAAUAGGUGAGCCACAGGUGAUAGAGUGAUAGGUGAGCCACAGGUGAUAGAGUGAUAGGUGAGCCACAUAUGAUGAGUGAUAGGUGAGCCACAGGUGAUAGUGAUAGGUGAGCCACAUAUGAUACAGCGAUAGGUGAGCCACUUAUGAUACAGUGAUAGGUGAGCCACAUAUGAUACAGUGAUAGGUGAGCCACAUAUGAUACAGUGAUAGGUGAUCCAC